AUGGCAGGGGUGAAAGAAGUGUUCCUAGAGGCGGAACAUAGGGAAUGCAUGUUUCACUUGGUGACCAACUUCAAGAAGAAGUUCCAUGGGAAGGUGUUUGAUGGCCACCUUUGGGCUGCUGCUUACUCAUGGAACCCAUAUUUAUUUGACAAACAUUGGGUUUCUAUGGAGACAACAAAGCUAGCUGCAACUGCAUAUAUAAGGAAGUGGCACAAUAGGUUGUGGUCUAGGAGUCAAUUCUCAACUAUAUGCAAGUUAGACUAUGUAACCAACAACCUGGCUGAGAGCUUUAAAAAUUGGAUUAAGCACCACAAGUCCUUGAACUUGGAUGACCUCUUUGAUGAAGCGAGAUAA
RNAcentral lists this ribosomal RNA (354 nucleotides) under Triticum aestivum (bread wheat). RNAcentral describes it as "partial small subunit ribosomal RNA". The record is from RNAcentral. Lineage: Eukaryota; Viridiplantae; Streptophyta; Magnoliopsida; Poales; Poaceae.